GAUGAACGCUAGCGGCAGGCUUAACACAGUGCAAGUCGAGGGGCAGCAGGUCUUCGGAUGCUGGCGACCGGCGCACGGGUGCGUAACGCGUAUGCAACUUACCCUUUACUGGGGGAUAGCCCGAGGAAACUCGGAUUAAUACCCCAUAGUUUUGAGAUACUGCAUGGUAUUUCAAAUAAAGAUUCGUUGGUAAAGGAUAGGCAUGCGUGACAUUAGGUAGUUGGAGAGGUAACGGCUCACCAAGCCGACGAUGUCUAGGGGUCCUGAGAGGGUUACCCCCCCACACUGGUACUGAGACACGGACCAGACUCCUACGGGAGGCAGCAGUGAGGAAUAUUGGUCAAUGGAGGCAACUCUGAACCAGCCAUGCCGCGUGCAGGAAGACGGCCCUAUGGGUUGUAAACUGCUUUUAUACAGGGCGAAUUCUGUUACGAGUAACAGGUUGACGGUACUGUAUGAAUAAGCACCGGCUAACUCCGUGCCAGCAGCCGCGGUAAACUCGUUCUA
RNAcentral lists this ribosomal RNA (507 nucleotides) under uncultured bacterium. RNAcentral's name for it is "bacterial SSU rRNA". It matches the Rfam family "Bacterial small subunit ribosomal RNA", at positions 28 to 537 of the family's 1533-position model. The record is from RNAcentral.